AUUCGAUUAAGACAUGCGAGUCGAGAGUCGUAAUGGACUCGGCGCACUGCUCAGUAACACGUGGAUAACGUACCCUAAAGUGGAGCAUAAUCUCGGAAAACUGAGGAUAAUACUCCAUAGAUCAUGAAAUCUGGAAUGAUUCAUGGUUCGAAGUUCCGGCGCUUAAGGAUCGGUCUGCGGCCUAUCAGGUAGUAGUGGGUGUAACGGACCCACUAGCCGAUGACGGGUAUGGGCCUUGAGAGAGGGAGCCCAGAGAUGGAUUCUGAGACACGAAUCCAGCCCCUACGGGGCGCAGCAGUCGCGAAAACUUCACAAUGGAGGCAACUCCGAUGAGGGAAUUCCUAGUGCCAAUGCAUUUUGUGUUGGCUUUUCUUCAGCGUAGAUAACUGAUGGAAUAAGGGCUGGGUAAGACGGGUGCCAGCCGCCGCGGUAAUACCCGCAGCCCAAGUGGUGGUCGAUAUUAUUGAGUCUAAAACGUUCGUAGCCGGUUCAAUAAAUCUCUGGGUAAAUCGGAGGGCUUAACCUUCCGAAUUCCGGAGAGACUGUUGAACUUGGGACCGGGAGAGGCAAGAGGUACUUCUGGGGUAGGGGUAAAAUCCUGUAAUCCUAGAAGGACCACCGGUGGCGAAGGCGUCUUGCUAGAACGGAUCCGACGGUGAGGGACGAAGCCCUGGGUCGCAAACGGGAUUAGAUACCCCGGUAGUCCAGGGUGUAAACGCUGCAGACUUGGUGUUGGGAACCCUUCGGGGGUGCUCAGUGCCGGAGAGAAGUUGUUAAGUCUGCUACUUGGGGAGUAC
This 797-nucleotide ribosomal RNA is filed under the name uncultured archaeon 113C. Its description in RNAcentral is "bacterial SSU rRNA". It matches the Rfam family "Archaeal small subunit ribosomal RNA", at positions 38 to 838 of the family's 1478-position model. The record is from RNAcentral.